RNAcentral lists this ribosomal RNA (947 nucleotides) under Cis sp. COL395. RNAcentral's name for it is "SSU rRNA". It matches the Rfam family "Eukaryotic small subunit ribosomal RNA", at positions 35 to 923 of the family's 1831-position model. The record is from RNAcentral. Lineage: Eukaryota; Metazoa; Arthropoda; Insecta; Coleoptera; Ciidae.
UCUCAAAGAUUAAGCCAUGCAUGUCUCAGUACAAGCCAAAUUAAGGUGAAACCGCGAAAGGCUCAUUAAAUCAGUUAUGGUUCCUUAGAUCGUACCCACACUUACUUGGAUAACUGUGGUAAUUCUAGAGCUAAUACAUGCAAACAGAGCUCCGACCGGAGACGGAAGGAGCGCUUUUAUUAGAUCAAAACCGAUCGGUGGUGGAUUUAUUCCAUCAUCGUACAAUUUGGUGAAUCUGAAUAACUUUAAGCUGAUCGCACGGUCUCGCACCGGCGACGCAUCUUUCAAAUGUCUGCCUUAUCAACUGUCGAUGGUAGGUUCUGCGCCUACCAUGGUUGUAACGGGUAACGGGGAAUCAGGGUUCGAUUCCGGAGAGGGAGCCUGAGAAACGGCUACCACAUCCAAGGAAGGCAGCAGGCGCGCAAAUUACCCACUCCCGGCACGGGGAGGUAGUGACGAAAAAUAACGAUACGGGACUCAUCCGAGGCCCCGUAAUCGGAAUGAGUACACUCUAAACCCUUUAACGAGGAUCAAUUGGAGGGCAAGUCUGGUGCCAGCAGCCGCGGUAAUUCCAGCUCCAAUAGCGUAUAUUAAAGUUGUUGCGGUUAAAAAGCUCGUAGUCGAAUUUGUGUCUCGCACCGUCGGUUCAUCGUUCGCGGUGUUAACUGGCGUGCCGCGGGACGUCCUGCCGGUGGGCUUAGCUCGAGAGGGCGGCCCAAAUCAAUCCCGCCGCGGUGCUCUUCAUUGAGUGUCGAGGUGGGCCGGCACGUUUACUUUGAACAAAUUAGAGUGCUUAAAGCAGGCUAAAAUUUCGCCUGAAUACUGUGUGCAUGGAAUAAUGGAAUAGGACCUCGGUUCUAUUUUGUUGGUUUUCGGAACCCCGAGGUAAUGAUUAAUAGGAACGGAUGGGGGCAUUCGUAUUGCGACGUUAGAGGUGAAAUUCUUGG